RNAcentral lists this unclassified non-coding RNA (265 nucleotides) under Stromatonectria sp. RNAcentral's name for it is "partial contains 5.8S ribosomal RNA, internal transcribed spacer 2, and large subunit ribosomal RNA". The record is from RNAcentral. Lineage: Eukaryota; Fungi; Ascomycota; Sordariomycetes; Hypocreales; Bionectriaceae.
CGCACAUUGCGCCCGCCAGUAUUCUGGCGGGCAUGCCUGUUCGAGCGUCAUUACAACCCUCAGGAUCCCCCUUUAGGGGGCGGAGCCUGGCGUUGGGGAUCAGCGGCCACAAGCCGCUGGCCCUAAAAUACAGUGGCGGUCACGCUGUAGCUUCCUAUGCGUAGUAAUUUACACCUCGCACCUGGGACUCUGCGCGGCCACGCCGUAAAACCCCCAAUUUUUUAAGGUUGACCUCGGAUCAGGUAGGGAUACCCGCUGAACUUAA